RNAcentral lists this ribosomal RNA (180 nucleotides) under uncultured bacterium. RNAcentral describes it as "partial 16S ribosomal RNA". It matches the Rfam family "Bacterial small subunit ribosomal RNA", at positions 328 to 507 of the family's 1533-position model. The record is from RNAcentral.
GGGCGGGGCCUACGGGAGGCAGCAGUGAGGAAUAUUGGGCAAUGGAGGCAACUCUGACCCAGCCAUGCCGCGUGCAGGAAGACUGCCCUAUGGGUUGUAAACUGCUUUUAUACAGGAAGAAACUUAUCCACGUGUGGAUAACUGACGGUACUGCAAGAAUAAGGACCGGCUAACUCCGUG